This 73-nucleotide transfer RNA is filed under the name Bos taurus (domestic cattle). It matches the Rfam family "tRNA". From Rfam's summary of the family: Transfer RNA (tRNA) molecules are approximately 80 nucleotides in length. Their secondary structure includes four short double-helical elements and three loops (D, anti-codon, and T loops). Further hydrogen bonds mediate the characteristic L-shaped molecular structure. tRNAs have two regions of fundamental functional importance: the anti-codon, which is responsible for specific mRNA codon recognition, and the 3' end, to which the tRNAs corresponding amino acid is attached (by aminoacyl-tRNA synthetases). tRNAs cope with the degeneracy of the genetic code in two manners: having more than one tRNA (with a specific anti-codon) for a particular amino acid; and 'wobble' base-pairing, i.e. permitting non-standard base-pairing at the 3rd anti-codon position. Lineage: Eukaryota; Metazoa; Chordata; Mammalia; Artiodactyla; Bovidae. The record is from Rfam by way of RNAcentral. RNAcentral also lists the same sequence under 2 other names.
UCCCUGCUGGUCCAGUGGUUAAGACUCUGCGCUUCCACUGCAGGAGGCACGGGUUCAAUCCCCGAGUGGGGAA